RNAcentral lists this long non-coding RNA (1097 nucleotides) under Salmo salar (Atlantic salmon). RNAcentral's name for it is "lncRNA (ENSSSAG00000103867.1)". The record is from RNAcentral. Lineage: Eukaryota; Metazoa; Chordata; Actinopteri; Salmoniformes; Salmonidae.
CGACGUCGAUCGCCGAAUGCCGCCCGAACAAGGAGAGGGACCGACUUCGGCGAGGGUCGUGACAGGAUUUCCCAAUGUCAUUGGAGCAAUUGACUGCACCCACAUCGCAAUAAAAGCACCAUCAAUGAAUGAAUUCAACUUCGUCAACAGAAAAGGUUUCCAUUCUGUUAAUGUGCAGGUCAUCUGUGAUUCACAUUUGGCUUUGUUGAAUGUAGUGGGCAAAUGGCCAGGUGGGACACGAACAGUUCAGUUGGCCUUAACCUCCAGGAAGGAGCUGUUGAGGACGGAUGGCUUAUUGGAGACCGGAGUUACCCGUUAAAAACAUGGCUGAUGACUCCCCUCACAAACUCCUCAAACCAACAAGAGUCAAGGCUUGCUACAUUGUCAAGGCUUGGAGUGUAUUCCACAACAUUGCAAUCAAAAAUGGCAUUCCACUGAAUCAUCCACCCAGACCCGAUGAGCCCAUGCCUGACAGGGAGUUUUUUCCACCACCCAUAGCUCUGGCACUGAGGACAAGAGUCAAUAUCAUACAACAGUUUUAGAUAUCUGUUCUUCCAAAUAUUGACUGCGUCAGUCAAAACAUGUGGCACAGCUGAAUUGCUCCACAAAAAGGAUACCCUUCUGGUAGGCCUGGGACUGAGGGAUCAGGCAAAUCACCCACAUCUGUCAAGAGUUCAUGUUUUGUUAUUUUUGUAAUAUUCAUUUUGUUACAUUUAUUUUGUUAUAUAUAUUUCUUAUAUUUAUUGUCAACAAAAAUUAUUUACAUGUGGUCCAUGUCUGAAUAUGGUUGCAAAAAUAAAGCUUGACUUUUUAAAUUUCAUUAACUGUUCUGCACUCAGAUGAGGCAGAAUUUACCACAGCUCAAGCCUGCUCCCAAGCAAUAUUUUGUCUCUUAUUUGUCAAGCCAUUGCUGAGGGCACCAAAAAGUAUGGCUUGUUUUGCUUCCACUUCAGUGAUCAAAAGUUAUAUUUCUGUGUCCUAAAAAAGUUUUUUUUCUUUGUCUUCUUUGAUUUCUCCAUGUUGGUGGACAGAAAUUAGUGACAUUUCUUGCAGCUUUAAAGGGAAGGUUUGUGACCAGAAAUGGUAAUUUAGUGCGG